AACCUUCAGCCUGGAGAAGGUCAGCAGCCCCAUUGUUUUAAAAAGGGAGCUGGUGGUGAAUCCAGUGCACACAGCCACCGAACAUACAGGACUCGCUGCUCCCUGGUGAGCAUCGUCAGCCAUUUGGGCUCUACGGCUCACAGCGGACAUUACAUCUGUGACGGUGCUCACAGAACCCAGGAACCCGGUGACACAGCAGACUGUGGGCUCACCUACAACGACGAGCAGGUCACUGAGACAACAUGCAUUUAAUUAAGUGGUUUUGAGUGCAGGAGUGCUGGUUGAUUGCAGCAGUCAUGUUGUUAAUCCUACUGUUAGCUGCCAGAAAACAAACCAGCAGUUUGUUUCUUCUCUUUUAUUUCCUCAGAGGUGUUGAUAAUUUUGUGUCGUUGUUGUGUUGUAGUUGUAGGACUCUGAGGAAAAUGGAAAACGAUCCAGAUGUUGCAUCAACAGUAAACCACUUGGAAAUGUUGAAGGGUGCUGUCCGUUGCAGUGUUGGAAUGAUUUAACAACACUAUUUAUGUUCUUUUCAGCACCGAAGGAGUCCAACAGCUGAGGACAGACCUGGAGGAAGCUGCAGCAUCACCUGCUUGUUCUUAUUUAAUAAAUG
Long non-coding RNA from Stegastes partitus (bicolor damselfish), 610 nucleotides. RefSeq lists it as uncharacterized. The record is from RefSeq and is a predicted model, not a curated record. The transcript has 3 exons. NCBI's taxonomy places the organism in Eukaryota, Metazoa, Chordata, Actinopteri, Pomacentridae.